RNAcentral lists this ribosomal RNA (256 nucleotides) under uncultured bacterium. RNAcentral's name for it is "partial 16S ribosomal RNA". It matches the Rfam family "Bacterial small subunit ribosomal RNA", at positions 793 to 1055 of the family's 1533-position model. The record is from RNAcentral.
GUCCACGCCGUAAACGAUGGAUACUAGCUGUUGGGCGCAAGUUCAGUGGCUAAGCGAAAGUGAUAAGUAUCCCACCUGGGGAGUACGUUCGCAAGAAUGAAACUCAAAGGAAUUGACUGGGGCCCCGCACAAGCGGUGGAGCAUGUGGUUUAAUUCGAUGAUACGCGAGGAACCUUACCAAGGCUUAAAUGUAGUUUGACCGAUUUGGAAACAGAUCUUUCGCAAGACAAAUUACAAGGUGCUGCAUGGUUGUCGU